CGACCCUCAAGCACAGCUUGGUGUUGGGCGUGGUCCUGCUACAGGACCCGCCCGUAACUCGUAGGCGGCCGCCGCCCGCGCCCCCAGCGUAGCAAGCUCACGCGUUCGCUCGGGACGGCGCGUCUGGCCCGCCAGGCAAAACGCAAACCCUUCCAAG
This 157-nucleotide unclassified non-coding RNA is filed under the name uncultured fungus. RNAcentral's name for it is "sequence contains ITS2". Lineage: Eukaryota; Fungi. The record is from RNAcentral.